Molecule: ribosomal RNA, 258 nt
Filed under: Triticum aestivum (bread wheat)
Lineage: Eukaryota; Viridiplantae; Streptophyta; Magnoliopsida; Poales; Poaceae
Description: partial small subunit ribosomal RNA
Source: RNAcentral
AUGGUGCUGCAGAACGACAUCGACCUCCUCAACCCGCCGGCGGAGCUCGAGAAGCUCAAGCACAAGAAGAAGCGCCUCGUCCAGUCCCCCAACUCGUUCUUCAUGGACGUCAAGUGCCAGGGCUGCUUCAACACUACUGUGUUCAGCCACUCCCAGACUGUCGUGGUGUGCCCGGGCUGCCAAACAGUGCUCUGCCAGCCAACGGGUGGCAAGGCCAGGCUAACCGAGGGUUGCUCCUUCCGCCGCAAGGGCGACUAA